Long non-coding RNA from Octopus bimaculoides (California two-spot octopus), 1040 nucleotides. The record is from RefSeq and is a predicted model, not a curated record. NCBI's taxonomy places the organism in Eukaryota, Metazoa, Mollusca, Cephalopoda, Octopoda, Octopodidae.
GGUAUCUAGAUGGGGAGGUAUUUUCAGGACGUCAGAUCGCUGCAAUUUUUCGUGAAGUUGGCAAUGCUUCUGUGAAGUUGGCGCAACAUGGUUAACAAAAGAGCUUAUCGAAACGUAUAAAAACAAUAGUGUGGAGAUCUAUCAACGCUCACUCAACAACGCUAAAAUGAUGAAGGCGAAGUUGUUAUGGAGAUAAUGGUCUAAAGACAGAAUCCAGAUGACAAGGUAUGAAGUGGAAAAACCCAGAAAUAGCCAGCGAAACAGAAUUUCAGGACUCAACCUUCUGCAGAAAAUGUGAUGCUAACUGUUUUUUGGGGGACACAAAAGGGCCUAUACUGGAACAUUAUCAGGAAAAGAGAUUUAAAUUCACCAGCGUAGGCGAAAUUGAAAUACUGGCCAACAUACUAAAAACAGUAUUUCGCGCCAAAAGGCUAGCUCUAUUGUCAACUCAAAGGUUAUUGUUACGCGACAAUGUACGCCGACAUACAGCCGUCCACACCGCUGAAACGAUUAAAAAUUUCUAUUUCAAGUUGCUAGAAUACUCUGCAGACAGUCAAAAUCUCCUGAUUGUUACCUGAAACAUUCUUUACGAGGUAAUCGAUUUGCUAAGGACAUUGAAGAGCAGGAAGUGGAGCAUACAUAGCUGUGCGAUCAACCAAAAACCUUCGAUUGAAUAUACAAGCCUGUGGACUGGAGCAUGUGGACAGUUAAAAGUGCAUCGAAAAGCAAAGAGACUAUGUCGAAAAACGACGUAAGCGUUCAACGCCUGCAUUUGUUUGAGUAAGACUAAGGACAGUUUCACCCGGUCAGUGAACGACGCGAAGAGAGAAACGAAGAGAGAAACGAAGACACAAAAAAGAAGUGGAUACGAAGUGGUGUUUGAGCGACCGAUCUUGGUAGAAAAAAAAGAAUGUCAUGAUGACUUUCCAUCUUACACGUGAAUACAUGGAAAUCCAAGAUGGCCGCCAUCUCACUGCAAUGCAGCUGGGAGUGUUUUUUGUGUGGACAGACUGACGCUGAAAUUUAUUAACUGAAGAAGA